Molecule: small RNA, 61 nt
Filed under: Sinorhizobium meliloti 2011
Lineage: Bacteria; Pseudomonadati; Pseudomonadota; Alphaproteobacteria; Hyphomicrobiales; Rhizobiaceae
Description: putative ncRNA
Source: RNAcentral
GCUGGAACUUGCCCUCGGCGUUGCGGACGACCGAUUGCGGUUCCCCGGCGAUCAUUUGGUC